AGCGAGUAGGUGUAGUUGUGCACAAGAAAUUUUGGUUUUCUAGGUCGUUUGUCAAAAAGCGACUCGCUA
RNAcentral lists this transfer RNA (69 nucleotides) under Bankia sp. TBF03. Its description in RNAcentral is "tRNA-Gln". RNAcentral also lists the same sequence under 1 other name. The record is from RNAcentral. Lineage: Eukaryota; Metazoa; Mollusca; Bivalvia; Myida; Teredinidae.